Molecule: long non-coding RNA, 499 nt
Organism: Lynx canadensis (Canada lynx)
Lineage: Eukaryota; Metazoa; Chordata; Mammalia; Carnivora; Felidae
Exons: 2
Source: RefSeq, a predicted model, not a curated record
AUGAAAGCAUGCCAUUUGCAGCAACGUGGAUGGAACUGGAAGUGCCACCUCAUGCCUGCCAGCUUUCCUGUGGAACCAUACUGUGGACCACUUGACUGACCCUUGGGUAGACUGACUGCCAUACCCCACACCAUCCCUUGUCAACUUGAAAAAGCCAAAACAGUCAUCAUCCCUGUUCCCUAACAGCAGUUAGGGGCCCUAUUCCAGGGGGGAGGAAUGAGUAGGGAAAGGGUUAACAUUAAGCAGGGAUAGAUAAAGGACCCUCAGGGAGGUAGGCUUCAGCUGCAAGUGGGAGGCUGAAGCUGCUGUGGGGUUUGGAAAAAAAGGGGGAGCGGGAAUAAAUGCAUUCCAAACCUGCCUGGGCAAGGUGCCAUGAAUGAAGUCUCACAAACUUUCUGAUAAUGUCUCAAUAAAAUCCUUGGUGGCAAUCCAGUUGGGACCCCCUCACUCUUGAGAGCUUUGUACUUUUGCUCAAUAAACUUUAUUGCUUUGUUCACUC